CAUGUGACCUGAGUGCUGCUCAUCAGAUGUGUGAAUAAACCUGGUUCUGAGCUUUUAUUACUAAAUCUGUGGUGCGUUGGUAGAGAGGUGGCUGGAGAUCCACCUGUGACACUAACCUUGUUUCUUCAUAGCUGAAUCACUGGCCUGUCUUCUUUAGGUUUAGAGGCUGCUACUGCCCCCUACUGACCUGGAGCACAAACCUACGACUGCUGACAAUAAACAGUGGAGCCACGGAACAACAAAAACAAUUAGAGUCUGGACCUCCUACUAAAGGAUGUGUGUCCUGGAACUACGAGCUUCUGGAGUCUUUCAUGUGAGUCUCACAGAUCACUUCGUCCCACUGGUGACGCUGUAUCGCAGGGUUGCAGUAAUUGUAAUAGUGAGUGUCUGUCUGCGACACUGCAGGACAUGAGCAGAGACAGACGGGUUCAUCCUGUGCUCGCUCCGCGGCCUCUGUCGCUCCUCUCUCUCCCUUCACACCACCCAGAUGGCGCAGGAGCCACUCAGUCGUAGCUCUUAUCUGUGAAAAUUGCUCAAGUCGGCGCGUGGCAAAUACCUGCUGCCGCUGCCUCUGAUUCCCCUUGAAGGAGGCAGACACGUGUCGGCGCGAGUGAGAGCUGCAGACGGAAGCCAGUGUGCGUCUGGGCGUGAUUGCCACCGCGGGAGCUGGAGGAUGUCAGCUGGUGUGCGUGCACUUGUGAGAGCGGGGACUGCGCGGUGCCGGGACGCGUGCGAGCGUGUGCAGCCGAUCCACGACAAGCCGAGUGUGACAGCUCAGCGCUCCUCUCUUCCGCCGCCAGCGCCGCCGGAGCCACAAUGAUAGAGGACGAAGCCGGCCGAGGAUGGGCCUCGAUGCAGAGUUCAGGCCUUCAGCAGACGCGUGGCCGCUCGGGUUCAGUGGAUGAAGGAGAAGCGGCCGGCGUCGACUUCAGUCACAGAUUUAGAGGAAACUAUCGAAAGUUAAAGCACAACGAGAGGCAGACUUUUAUGGACUUUCUGCUUCAUGGAUACAAAUAAACGCUGACACACGUUUAUCAUCGGCCCUCGUCGGCCAUCUUGGUGCCUGCACCUCCACUGGCUGGUGGUUUUUGUGCUGUAGGAGCAUUUUCAGCCCCGCCCUCUUUCUCCUCCCGCGUGCACGUCAGUCUCGUCCAGCCGCAGAUAUCAUUUAUAAUUAUGCAAAGCAGUUUUUCCUCGUCGCACGGACGAAAGCAAUUUUUCUAUGCAAAUGGUUAAAUUCCCUGUGAGGCUCACCAGGCUGAUAAACGUGCUAAUGAUGAGUGACGGCGGGAGAUAUUGGGGUCACGGCACGUGCGACACUGAUGAAAAUGAUCAACUAAAUGCCAGAAGUGUCCUCAGAGCUGUGCGUCGGGUUGGAGCUGUGGCGAUUAGUAACGAGAGAACAUCUGAGUGGUGUUUAAAUGGAAGAGGCUCAUAAUAUUCAUUUCCUUCAAGUCUGUUGAGAUGAGAAUUGAUGAUGGUUCAGAUCCUGAUCGCAGGGUGAUACGAACCCAUGGACUUGGGUGAUGAUCCUAACUCAUCCGGUUGCUUUGCUGUUUUAACGGCUGUUUGACCUUUGACCUUAACCACGUCUGACCCAGAACCCAAGCUGACGUCUGCAGCUGUGGUCGGACCUGGAUGUGUUAGCGGUUCAGAGGUGGACAGAACCAUGAGCAUGAUCAGCCUCCAUGUGUGGUGUUGGGUCUGUGCGUGGACAGCAGCAUGUUGGUGUCAGCGCUACCGGUGGAGAUUUAACAACGUAAUGUCUGAGGCUGAUUAUAUGUGUGAAGACAAAAACCUCUUCUCUCUAAAUCUGAGUACAUUUAAAAAGGGCAGCAGCCAAGUUUGGUGCUGCAGGUUUUGUUCCUUCCACUAAUAUUUGUUGAGCUCACUGUCGUGGGCCACAUGUACUAUCUGGAUGAUGGUACAUGUUGUAUUUGUACUUUCCUGGACUCGUGUUACUUGUGAUUCAUUACAACCUGAUUUAGCUGUUGAUCUAAGUCAUGGAGCUAUGAAUGAAGCCUGGUGAAAGAGCCCUCGUGUCAGAUUUAAGCUGCAGCUGCUCCAUGAAACAGAUGUUGAACCGCCCACACAGAUGCUGAAUUCAUUGUGUAUCAUUUUGUCCUGGGCACAAAUCCCAUAAAUACAGCAGGAAGAAAAAAAACUCACGGGUCAGAGACGCGUUGCGAUGCGUCCACAGUCAGACUUUAUUCACAAGUUGUUUACACCAAUAGAACAAAAUAUCAUCUGUUGUUUGUGGUUCUGAUUCCUGUACAGUGUUGCAGCAGACGAGCAGCGGGGGGUCUGACCGACGGAGCUUCCUGCAACCAGCGCCCUAACUCCCACUGCAGUGUGACAGCAUCUGUGAAAGGCAAACCCAACGCUGGGCCUUAAGGGCUCCUAACGGGAGCUCCGUGCAGCAGGAUGGGGUUUGGUGGUGAAAAAUGGACUCCAAUGCUGCACUGUUACAUCACGUUGAGGCCGCUAAGUUUUUCUACUGAUUUAACCGUGAUUCGCGAAGGUUAAACGUGAUGAUCCUUCGGCUCUCGCAGUCUCACGCGAGCGGCUAAUAGAUAAACCAACGUCUGCUAAGCUCAUGUGGAGGCCACGGAAAUGCACAACACUGAAUAAACAGCAAGGCUCUAGUAGCGUCACACAACUAGAAAUGAAUGGAGGUGAGUGAAGGCUAUCGUUACAUCACGAUGCUGUGGGUUCUGCUGCUUUCACGCGGUUCAUUCCUAGAUUCCUUUGGA
Molecule: long non-coding RNA, 2753 nt
Organism: Betta splendens (Siamese fighting fish)
Lineage: Eukaryota; Metazoa; Chordata; Actinopteri; Anabantiformes; Osphronemidae
Exons: 2
Source: RefSeq, a predicted model, not a curated record